UAGGGAAUCUUCGGCAAUGGACGGAAGUCUGAACGAGCAACGCCGCGUGAGUGAAGAAGGUUUUCGGAUCGUAAAGCUCUGUUGUUAGAGAAGAACGUUGGUAGGAGUGGAAAAUCUACCAAGUGACGGUAACUAACCAGAAAGGGACGGCUAACUACGUGCCAGCAGCCGCGGUAAUACAUAGGUCCCGAGCGUUGUCCGGAUUUAUUGGGCGUAAAGCGAGCGCAGGCGGUUCUUUAAGUCUGAAGUUAAAGGCAGUGGCUUAACCAUUGUACGCUUUGGAAACUGGAGGACUUGAGUGCAGAAGGGGAGAGUGGAAUUCCAUGUGUAGCGGUGAAAUGCGUAGAUAUAUGGAGGAACACCGGUGGCGAAAGCGGCUCUCUGGUCUGUAACUGACGCUGAGGCUCGAAAGCGUGGGGAGCAAACAGG
Molecule: ribosomal RNA, 429 nt
Filed under: Bacillota bacterium
Lineage: Bacteria; Bacillati; Bacillota
Description: Firmicutes bacterium partial 16S ribosomal RNA
Rfam family: Bacterial small subunit ribosomal RNA
Source: RNAcentral